GAAAUGCGAUAAGUAAUGUGAAUUGCAGAAUUCAGUGAAUCAUCGAAUCUUUGAACGCACCUUGCGCUCCUUGGUAUUCCUUAGAGCAUGCCUGUUUGAGUAUCAUGAAAUCUUCAAAGUAAAUCUUUUGUUAACUCAAUUGGUUUCUACUUUGGUAUUGGAGGUCUUUGCAGCUUCACACCUGCUCCUCUUUGUUCAUUAGCUGGAUCUCAGUGUUAUGCUUGGUUCCACUCGGCGUGAUAAGUUAUCUAUCGCUGAGGACACUGUAAAAGGUGGCCAAGGUAAAUGCAGAUGAACCGCUUCUAAUAGUCCAUUGACUUGGACAAUACUUUUAUGAUCUGAUCUCAAAUCAGGUAGGACUACCCGCUGAACUUAAGC
Molecule: unclassified non-coding RNA, 378 nt
Filed under: plant metagenome
Description: partial contains 5.8S ribosomal RNA, internal transcribed spacer 2, and large subunit ribosomal RNA
Rfam family: 5.8S ribosomal RNA (bases 1-105)
Source: RNAcentral